RNAcentral lists this ribosomal RNA (548 nucleotides) under uncultured bacterium. RNAcentral's name for it is "bacterial SSU rRNA". It matches the Rfam family "Bacterial small subunit ribosomal RNA", at positions 356 to 896 of the family's 1533-position model. The record is from RNAcentral.
GGGGAAUUUUGGACAAUGGGCGCAAGCCUGAUCCAGCCAUGCCGCGUGUCUGAAGAAGGCCUUCGGGUUGUAAAGGACUUUUGUCAGGGAAGAAAAGGCUGUUGCCAAUAUCGACAGCUGAUGACGGUACCUGAAGAAUAAGCACCGGCUAACUACGUGCCAGCAGCCGCGGUAAUACGUAGGGUGCGGGCGUUAAUCGGAAUUACUGGGCGUAAAGCGAGCGCAGACGGUUACUUAAGCAGGAUGUGAAAUCCCCGGGCUCAACCUGGGAACUGCGUUCUGAACUGGGUAACUAGAGUGUGUCAGAGGGAGGUAGAAUUCCACGUGUAGCAGUGAAAUGCGUAGAGAUGUGGAGGAAUACCGAUGGCGAAGGCAGCCUCCUGGGAUAACACUGACGUUCAUGCUCGAAAGCGUGGGUAGCAAACAGGAUUAGAUACCCUGGUAGUCCACGCCCUAAACGAUGUCAAUUAGCUGUUGGGCAACUCGAUUGCUUAGUAGCGUAGCUAACGCGUGAAAUUGACCGCCUGGGGAGUACGGUCGCAAGAUUA